This 519-nucleotide long non-coding RNA is filed under the name Homo sapiens (human). Its description in RNAcentral is "HSALNT0261953". Lineage: Eukaryota; Metazoa; Chordata; Mammalia; Primates; Hominidae. The record is from RNAcentral.
GAAGCGGAUCGGGUGGAGUGUAGGUCAUAUCGCCGCGGAUUGAUUCCUAAAGACUCAUGUUACGUGAGGAAGCAGCUCAGAAGAGGAAAGGAAAGGAGCCAGGCAUGGCUCUUCCUCAGGGACGCUUGACUUUCCGGGAUGUGGCUAUAGAAUUCUCAUUGGCAGAGUGGAAAUGCCUGAACCCUUCACAGAGGGCUUUGUACAGGGAAGUGAUGUUGGAGAACUACAGGAACCUGGAGGCUGUGGGUAGAGUCUCACUUUGUCACCCAGGCUGGAGUGCAGUGGUGUGAUCCUGGCUCACUGCAACCUCUACCUCCCAGAUAUCUCUUCCAAAUGCAUGAUGAAGGAGGUCUUGUCAACAGGGCAAGGCAAUACAGAAGUGAUCCACACAGGGACAUUGCAAAGACAUGAAAGUCAUCACAUUGGAGAUUUUUGCUUCCAGGAAAUUGAGAAAGAAAUUCAUGACAUUGAGUUUCAGUGUCAAGAAGAUGAAAGAAAUGGCCUUGAAGCACCCAUGAC